Molecule: long non-coding RNA, 270 nt
Filed under: Musa acuminata (dwarf banana)
Lineage: Eukaryota; Viridiplantae; Streptophyta; Magnoliopsida; Zingiberales; Musaceae
Description: long non-coding RNA (MACU_LNC003398)
Source: RNAcentral
GAGCCGUGAGCAUCGCUGUAGUAAAGGGAGACUUCUUAUGAUUGAACCAAUAGAAGAAGAGGUCAUUGAACAUCCAAAAGAGAGCCUUGAACAUGAAGAAGAAGAUGCAGAAGAAGAGCUACAACCGACUGAAGUUACGGUACAUGCACUAGCCGGCUACUCAAACCCGCAAACGAUGAAAGUUGGAGGCCUUCUCAAACAACAACCGAUCACUGUUCUCAUCGACACGGGCAGAACUAAUAACUUUCUAAAUAGUAAGGUUGUUGUCCA